Long non-coding RNA from Perca fluviatilis (European perch), 1557 nucleotides. RefSeq lists it as uncharacterized. The record is from RefSeq and is a predicted model, not a curated record. The transcript is spliced from 11 exons. NCBI's taxonomy places the organism in Eukaryota, Metazoa, Chordata, Actinopteri, Perciformes, Percidae.
UCGAUUUACAGUAACUUGCUGGCAACCGUGCUGCCUGUAAUUUACUGAAAUCGUUUGUUUCUGCUUGACCAAAUGCCUAUGAUAUACAUUCAUUUGAAUAUUAUUUGGUUUCAGAUUGGUCAGUGUCCUGAUUGCCAGGCAAAGCGUGCCAGUCUAAAAGAAAAUAAACAGUACAACCCAAUAAAGGUAACCGAGCCAUUUGAACUGGUGGGGAUGGACCUUAUGAAGCUGACUGUAACUGAGGGUGGUAAUCAAUACAUUUGUGUAAUGGUUGAUUAUUUCACAAAGUGGGCAGAGGCCUAUCCUCUGAAGAAUAAAUCAGCAGAGGAGGUGACCAAUUGUAUUUUGGAUUUUGUAUACAAAUUGGUGUACCUCAGAGACUGCUUACAGACCAGGGGACAAAAUCCAGGUGAAUGCCAGGCUCUGUGAAGCCCUUGGCAUUCAACGGAGCUUCUGUUCCUCAUACCACCCUCAAACAAAUGGCUUGGUUGAGAAGCUUAAUGGCACCAUCCAGAGGUCUCUCAACAAACCAGCCAGGAACACGCCAACACAAUGGGACCAGUUCCUCCAGCCAGUCAUGUUCGGACUCAGGACUAAAAAACAGUUGACCACACAGUAUAGUCCAUAUUUUCUACUGUUUGGAAGGGAGGCCAGGUACCCAUCUGAGGUGCCUGAAGAGUAUGAGGUGACAUUUGUAGGUCUACAAUUGGUUGGUCAAACAACAGAAACCGUGGCCAACAUUGACCAACUGACCCAUUUUAUAGAGCCAGAAGAGAGGAUUCCUGCUAAGCUAAAAAAGGUUAGCAACUCCUCUUUUGGCCUGCCCCUCCCAUUCACACUCUCCUUCACAACAACCAAACGUCCACUCCAGCUCUGCCACAAAUCUCCCCUCAAACUCUCAACCCCAAACACCUGCCAUCAACUCCUCUGACCCUCUACCAGCCACAUCCCCAGGAGAGAGUCCUCUCCACAGUAAUGUUCUUGGACAUAAUUCAGGAAUAGGGGAGAUUCUAUUGGCCAAGUUGGGCCCCUAUAAGCUUUUUACAGCUGAUUUUAACAACUUGGCUCCUGGGAGGGAAUUGGAGAGUGAGUACGGAUAACCCAAAAGCAUGUCAAGGUGAUUGAUACCUUUGAAAUGACAGCUAUCUGGAAUGGGACAUCAAAGGGGAUGAGAACGGUCAUGUAUCCAAAGGAGGGCAGAUCUAUUUUUGUUGAUCCAUUUGGAGCCACUCCACAACAAGUCACACACUGUAGGAAUGCAACAAGGGCAUUCAUGCGGAAAAAAACCCCAUUAAUAUGUCAAGAUGGAGGGGUGACACGGUGUCACAUCCCAGUCAGCAGGAUUUCACAUCCUGUGGAGUGUUGGUGUGCAAAGUGGCAGAGCUGCUCCUAAAUGGAGCCAGUAUGGAAUCUGAUGUUAAUGCGGCAGGCAUCAACAUCAUGAGGGAAGAGAUUGCCAGGAGACCGAUGGCUGAUUCUGACAACCUCAAUGAACUCUGCCACUGUUGCGGGGAAAUGAACACUGGGGAAAGUGACACCUUAGAGGCCCCUGUGGAC